UACGGGGGGAGCAAGCGUUGUUCGGAUUUACUGGGCGUAAAGCGCACGUAGGCGGUCCGUUAAGUCAGAUGUGAAAGCCCCCGGCUCAACCGGGGAAAUGCAUCUGAAACUGGCGAGCUAGAGUACGAAAGAAGGUCACGGAAUUCCCGGUGUAGAGGUGAAAUUCGUAGAUAUCAGAAAGAACACCGAUGGCGAAGACGACAACCUAGGUCGAUACUAACGCUGAGAUGCGAAAGCGUGGAGAGCAAACAGG
Molecule: ribosomal RNA, 253 nt
Filed under: uncultured bacterium
Lineage: Bacteria
Description: partial 16S ribosomal RNA
Rfam family: Bacterial small subunit ribosomal RNA
Source: RNAcentral